AUUGAACGCUGGCGGCAGGCCUAACACAUGCAAGUCGAGCGGAGCGGCGGACGGGUGAGUAAUGCCUAGGAAUCUGCCUGGUAGUGGGGGAUAAAGUCCGGAAACGGGCGCUAAUACCGCAUACUAUCAGAUGAGCCUAGGUCGGAUUAGCUAGGGGGGGGGGAAAAGGCCUACCAAGGCGACGCGCAGUAACAGGUCUGAGAGGCGGAACAGUCACACUGGAACUGCGACACGGUCUACACGCCUACGGGAGGCAGCAGUGGGGAAUAUGGGACAAGGGGAGAAAGCCUGAUCCAGCCAUGCCGCUUGUGUGAAGAAGGUCUUAGGAUUGUAAAGCACUGUAAGUUGGGAGGCGUUACCAACAUAAUAAGGACCGGCUAACUUCGUGCCAGCAGCCGCGGUAAUUC
This 407-nucleotide ribosomal RNA is filed under the name uncultured bacterium. Its description in RNAcentral is "partial 16S ribosomal RNA". It matches the Rfam family "Bacterial small subunit ribosomal RNA", at positions 29 to 526 of the family's 1533-position model. The record is from RNAcentral.